CCCCAGACUCCUACGGGAGGCAGCAGUGAGGAAUAUUGGUCAAUGGCCGGAAGGCUGAACCAGCCAAGUCGCGUGAGGGACGACUGCCCUAUGGGUUGUAAACCUCUUUUAUAAGGGAAGAAUAAAUGCUACGUGUAGCAUGAUGCCUGUACCUUAUGAAUAAGCAUCGGCUAACUACGUGCCAGCAGCCGCGGUAAUACGUAGGUGGCAAGCGUUGUCCGGAUUUACUGGGUGUAAAGGGCGUGUAGCCGGGCCGGCAAGUCAGAUGUGAAAUCCCAAGGCUCAACCUUGGAACUGCAUUUGAAACUGUUGGUCUUGAGUAUCGGAGAGGCAGGCGGAAUUCCUAGUGUAGCGGUGAAAUGCGUAGAUAUUAGGAGGAACACCAGUGGCGAAGGCGGCCUGCUGGACGACAACUGACGGUGAGGCGCGAAAGCGUGGGGAGCAAACAGGAUUAGAUACCCUAGUAA
RNAcentral lists this ribosomal RNA (467 nucleotides) under uncultured bacterium. RNAcentral describes it as "partial 16S ribosomal RNA". It matches the Rfam family "Bacterial small subunit ribosomal RNA", at positions 329 to 793 of the family's 1533-position model. The record is from RNAcentral.